ACGAACGCUGGCGGCGUGCUUCACACAUGCAAAUCGAACGGAAAGGCCCUGCUUUUGUGGGGUGCUCGAGUGGCGAACGGGUGAGUAACACGUGAGUAACCUGCCCUUGACUUUGGGAUAACUUCAGGAAACUGGGGCUAAUACCGGAUAGGAGCUCCUGCUGCAUGGUGGGGGUUGGAAAGUUUCGGCGGUUGGGGAUGGACUCGCGGCUUAUCAGCUUGUUGGUGGGGUAGUGGCUUACCAAGGCUUUGACGGGUAGCCGGCCUGAGAGGGUGACCGGCCACAUUGGGACUGAGAUACGGCCCAGACUCCUACGGGAGGCAGCAGUGGGGAAUAUUGCACAAUGGGCGGAAGCCUGAUGCAGCAACGCCGCGUGCGGGAUGACGGCCUUCGGGUUGUAAACCGCUUUCGCCUGUGACGAAGCGUGAGUGACGGUAAUGGGUAAAGAAGCACCGGCUAACUACGUG
This 467-nucleotide ribosomal RNA is filed under the name uncultured bacterium. RNAcentral's name for it is "partial 16S ribosomal RNA". It matches the Rfam family "Bacterial small subunit ribosomal RNA", at positions 29 to 507 of the family's 1533-position model. The record is from RNAcentral.